This is a non-coding RNA of Heterocephalus glaber (naked mole-rat), 285 nucleotides long. NCBI's taxonomy places the organism in Eukaryota, Metazoa, Chordata, Mammalia, Rodentia, Bathyergidae. The record is from Rfam.
GGAUGUGAGGGCGAUUUGGCUGUGUCAUCUGUCACCCCACUGAUCGCCAGGGUUGAUUCGGCUGAUCUGGCUAGCUAGGCAGUGUCCCCUCCUCCCUCACCGCUCCAUGUGCGCCCCUCCCGAAGCUGCGCGCGCACGCUCGGUCGAAGAGGACGACCACCCCCGAUAGAGGAGGACCGUUUCCUCGGUCAAGGGUAUCCAAGUACCUGCGCUCCCCUGCUAGAACCUCCAAACAAGCUCUCAAGGUCCCCCUGUCCCCAGGGAACACGGCUCCUAGAAACACAC